This 479-nucleotide ribosomal RNA is filed under the name Arthrobacter sp. SKC_PK58A. RNAcentral describes it as "bacterial SSU rRNA". It matches the Rfam family "Bacterial small subunit ribosomal RNA", at positions 962 to 1441 of the family's 1533-position model. Lineage: Bacteria; Bacillati; Actinomycetota; Actinomycetes; Micrococcales; Micrococcaceae. The record is from RNAcentral.
CGAAGAACCUUACCAAGGCUUGACAUGGGCCGGAUCGCCGCAGAAAUGCGGUUUCCCUUCGGGGCCGGUUCACAGGUGGUGCAUGGUUGUCGUCAGCUCGUGUCGUGAGAUGUUGGGUUAAGUCCCGCAACGAGCGCAACCCUCGUUCUAUGUUGCCAGCGGUUCGGCCGGGGACUCAUAGGAGACUGCCGGGGUCAACUCGGAGGAAGGUGGGGACGACGUCAAAUCAUCAUGCCCCUUAUGUCUUGGGCUUCACGCAUGCUACAAUGGCCGGUACAAAGGGUUGCGAUACUGUGAGGUGGAGCUAAUCCCAAAAAGCCGGUCUCAGUUCGGAUUGAGGUCUGCAACUCGACCUCAUGAAGUCGGAGUCGCUAGUAAUCGCAGAUCAGCAACGCUGCGGUGAAUACGUUCCCGGGCCUUGUACACACCGCCCGUCAAGUCACGAAAGUUGGUAACACCCGAAGCCGGUGGCCUAACCC